Bradysia coprophila is the source of this 332-nucleotide long non-coding RNA. Lineage: Eukaryota; Metazoa; Arthropoda; Insecta; Diptera; Sciaridae. The record is from RefSeq and is a predicted model, not a curated record.
UUCUCAUAACGAUAUAAGGAAAUCUCAUCGCUCAAAAUGAAAUUCUUCAACAACUCAUUCUUCUUCUUCUUCUUCUUCUUCUUCUUCCAGUACAAAUUCUUCUUCUUCUAAGUCUGCUACUUAUAGUUUGCCGACUAUCGCAAACUGAAAGUACCAUGGACAAUUAAUCUAGUAAUCAAGAUCCAACCAGCAUGGGAGAAGAGCCGUAUAAUGUCGAAGAGCAAAAGCUGAAUUAAUUUAUUGUUUUUUCAAUGUUUUUAACUCAAAUUUUAAUUUUCGAAUUUUGUGACGAUUCUCUCCAUGAAAUAAAUUUUAGUUUUUUUUUGAAUAUU